Molecule: long non-coding RNA, 523 nt
Organism: Vitis vinifera (wine grape)
Lineage: Eukaryota; Viridiplantae; Streptophyta; Magnoliopsida; Vitales; Vitaceae
Exons: 3
Source: RefSeq, a predicted model, not a curated record
UUACCUUUUAAGUUAAAAAUUGGAAGAUAGAAGGAGAUAGCAAGAGAGGCAGAGGAGAGAGCGCCCCUCUGGAGUCCACAUUUGGAGUACGUGAAGAUUUUGCCAUUUUCGCUUUUGGAAAUGUCACAUCGAAGAGGAAGAGUACAAAUAGUGUCUCCAGAAGAUGAGUUGGACAAUCUACAACAACUCUUAGACAUACAACCUGCUGCAGCUACUACUCCUAAUAGUUCUGAUCCUUCUGAUCCUUCUGAUUCUUCAGAUCCUUCUGUUGUUGGUUCAUUUUCUAGCAAAAAGAGGACACGUGGCCCAACACGUAACUUAGAUUUACUUAGUAUGAAACCCGGGGAAAAAAAAACUACACGAUUAAAUACCAGAGGGCAAGUUGUUUAUGAUGGAAAAGGGGAAAGAUUGUCAAGCUAUAUGGGAACAUUGGUGCGAUCUCAACACAAUGUACCCAUCCAAGUUCAAGAUUGGAAUCAUGUCAGUGAAGAUGUGAAGGAAAAGAUUUGGGCCUUAGUAUUGG